AAACCAACAGGGAUUGCCUCAGUAACGGCGAGUGAAGCGGCAAAAGCUCAAAUUUGAAAUCCCCCGGGAAUUGUAAUUUGAAGGUGGUCUCAGUUAGUUCAAACAUUCUUAAGUCCAUUGGAAAAUGGCGCCAUGGAGGGUGAUAGCCCCGUAAAGAACCNGUUUGCUCUAUUUUCUUGGACCACCAAAGAGUCGAGUUGUUUGGGAAUGCAGCUCUAAGUGGGUGGUAAAUUCCAUCUAAAGCUAAAUAUUGGCGAGAGACCGAUAGCGAACAAGUACAGUGAUGGAAAGAUGAAAAGCACUUUGAAAAGAGAGUGAAAAAGUACGUGAAAUUGUUGAAAGGGAAGGGCUUGCAAGCAGACACAACCUUUUGGUUGGGCCAGCAUCGGGGCGAGAGGAAGUAAAAAAGGAAAGGAAAUGUAGCUCUCGAGUAUUAUAGACCUUCCCCAUUCCUUCCAUCUCAUCCCGAGGCCUGCGGAUUCAUCCUAGGAUGCUGGCGUAAUGGUUGCAAGUCGC
RNAcentral lists this ribosomal RNA (516 nucleotides) under Metschnikowia bicuspidata. RNAcentral's name for it is "eukaryotic LSU rRNA". It matches the Rfam family "Eukaryotic large subunit ribosomal RNA", at positions 62 to 648 of the family's 3401-position model. Lineage: Eukaryota; Fungi; Ascomycota; Pichiomycetes; Serinales; Metschnikowiaceae. The record is from RNAcentral.